This 412-nucleotide long non-coding RNA is filed under the name Coturnix japonica (Japanese quail). RNAcentral describes it as "lncRNA (ENSCJPG00005003109.1)". Lineage: Eukaryota; Metazoa; Chordata; Aves; Galliformes; Phasianidae. The record is from RNAcentral.
GAUUCACAGAGACACUGCAGCACUGUGUUGGCUACUUCACCUCUGAAUGAUGACCACUGAAGAACAUGAGAGAUGAAGUACAAUGGAGAAGUCCAGAUAAAUGGACUGGAAUUCCUGCUACCAUUAUAUAUUUUUUUCUUUUUUAUGGAUUUUGGUACACCCUCAUGGCUGUCAAAGGCCAUUGUCUUUGCUCCAGAGGUCCUACAGCCAUGGUGCAGCUUGGAUCCUAGAUGCUAUGCUUGGGGUUAGGCUACUGCUUCCUCCUGAAUUACACUGGCAGACUAAGGUGACUCUUUGUGUUCUCUGCAACCCUUUGACUUUCAUGCGAGUUAUACAAAAUGGAUGUGCCCUUCUGGUUACGUCACAAGUGAUGUCAGAAAUUGCAGUGGUGUUAAGUAUUAGUCUGCCUUGA